RNAcentral lists this ribosomal RNA (407 nucleotides) under uncultured bacterium. Its description in RNAcentral is "partial 16S ribosomal RNA". It matches the Rfam family "Bacterial small subunit ribosomal RNA", at positions 960 to 1353 of the family's 1533-position model. The record is from RNAcentral.
CGGGAAGAACCUUUACCAGGUGUUUGACAUUUUUUUUUUACCAACUUUAGGGAUUUGGGGGUUUUCCUUUGGGGGGGGAAAAAACCAGGUGGUGCCAUGGUUGUCUUCAACUCGUUUCUGAGAAAUUUUGGUUAAAUCCCGCAAAAGAGUGCAACCCUUUUUUUCAGUUGCCCCAGCAUUUAGUUGGGCAUUUUGGGGAGACUGCCGGGGACAAACCGGAGGAAGGUGGGGAUGACGUCAAAUCAUCAUGCCCCUUAUGACCUGGGCUACACACGUGCUACAAUGGACGGUACAACGAUCGGGAAAACCGCGAGGUCAAGCUAAUUUUUUAAAGCCGUUUUCAGUUCGGAUUGUAGGUUGCAACUCGCUUACAUGAAGUUGGAAUCGCUAGUAAUNCGUGGAUCAGC